CCGAGUUAGGGUUUGCUCUUCGGAGUGCCCGACCUCCCAACCCUUUGUCUAUGAUACCACAGUUGCUUCGGCGGACCGAGGGGUCAUACCCUCGCCUGGCUUAUGGCCGGGAGCGUGUCCGUCGAUGGCCCCUAUCUAAAUUUUUGAACCCAAAACCUGUCGUCUGAAAACUUUGAUAACUAAAUCAAAAACA
Molecule: unclassified non-coding RNA, 193 nt
Filed under: uncultured Chaetothyriales
Lineage: Eukaryota; Fungi; Ascomycota; Eurotiomycetes; Chaetothyriales
Description: sequence contains ITS1
Source: RNAcentral